This 129-nucleotide small nucleolar RNA is filed under the name Amborella trichopoda. RNAcentral's name for it is "Small nucleolar RNA snoR74". It matches the Rfam family "Small nucleolar RNA snoR74". Lineage: Eukaryota; Viridiplantae; Streptophyta; Magnoliopsida; Amborellales; Amborellaceae. The record is from Rfam by way of RNAcentral.
ACAGAAGUCUGAACUUUUCUCCUUUGAGUUGGCUUCUCAUAAACUUUAGGGAAAUUAUUUGUACCAUUAUUGGGUGAACCUUUGUAAACUAUACUUGUGAAUAAAGGUUAAAAAAAUGUUGCUACCUUA